AUUGAACGCUGGCGGCAGGCCUAACACAUGCAAGUCGAGCGAGCGGCGGACGGGUGAGUAAUGUAUGGGGACUGCCCGAUAGAGGGGGAUAACUACUGGAAACGGUAGCUAAUACCGCAUACUAUCGGAUAACCCAUAUGGGAUUAGCUAGUAGGUGAGGUAAUGGCUCACCUAGGCGACGAUCCCUAGCUGGUCUGAGAGGAUGCUCAGCCACACUGGUACGAGGACACGGCCCAGAAUCCUACGGAGGCAGAAGUGGGGAAUAUUGAACAAUUGGCGAAAGCCUGAUGCAGCCAUGCCGCGUGUGUGAAGAAGGCCAUGGGGUUGUAAAGUACUUUCAGUCGGGAGGCGUUACCGACAGAAGAAGCACCGGCUAACUCCGUGCCAGCAGCCGCGGUAAUAC
RNAcentral lists this ribosomal RNA (403 nucleotides) under uncultured bacterium. RNAcentral describes it as "partial 16S ribosomal RNA". It matches the Rfam family "Bacterial small subunit ribosomal RNA", at positions 30 to 526 of the family's 1533-position model. The record is from RNAcentral.